AGGCUUAACACAUGCAAGUCGAGCGGGGAAGGGUAGCUUGCUACCUGACCUAGCGGCGGACGGGUGAGUAAUGCUUAGGAAUCUGCCUAUUAGUGGGGGACAACAUUCCAAAAGGAAUGCUAAUACCGCAUACCCCCUACGGGGGAAAGCAGGGGAUCUUCGGACCUUGCGCUAAUAAAUGAGCCUAAGUCAAAUUAGCUAGUUGGUGGGGUAAAGGCCUACCAAGGCAACAAUCUGUAGCGGGUCUGAGAGGAUGAUCCGCCACACUGGGACUGAAACACGGCCCAAACUCCUACGGGAGGCAGCAGUGGGGAAUAUUGAACAAUGGGCGCAAGCCUGAUCCAGCCAUGCCGCGUGUGUGAAGAAGGCCUUUUGGUUGUAAAGCACUUUAAGCGAGGAGGAGGCUACUUGGAUUAAUACUCUAGGAUAGUGGACGUUACUCGCAAAAUAAGCACCGGCUAACUCUGUG
This 469-nucleotide ribosomal RNA is filed under the name uncultured bacterium. RNAcentral describes it as "bacterial SSU rRNA". It matches the Rfam family "Bacterial small subunit ribosomal RNA", at positions 44 to 507 of the family's 1533-position model. The record is from RNAcentral.